RNAcentral lists this ribosomal RNA (480 nucleotides) under uncultured bacterium. RNAcentral's name for it is "bacterial SSU rRNA". It matches the Rfam family "Bacterial small subunit ribosomal RNA", at positions 8 to 503 of the family's 1533-position model. The record is from RNAcentral.
AGAGUUUGAUCCUGGCUUCAGGAUGAACGCUGACAGAAUGCUUAACACAUGCAAGUCGACUGGAAUUCUUCUUCGGAAGAUAGUACGGUGGCGGACGGGUGAGUAACGCGUAAAGAAUUUGCCCUUCAGACUGGGACAACUAACCGAAAGGUUAGCUAAUACCGGAUAUUAUGAGACCUUGGCAUCAAGGACUUAUGAAAGCUAUAUGCGCUGAAGGAGAACUUUGCGUCCCAUUAGGUAGUUGGUAGGGUAAUGGCCUACCAAGCCGACGAUGGGUAGCCGGCCUGAGAGGGUGAACGGCCACAAGGGGACUGAGACACGGCCCUUACUCCUACGGGAGGCAGCAGUGGGGAAUAUUGGACAAUGGACCAAAAGUCUGAUCCAGCAAUUCUGUGUGCACGAUGAAGGUCUUCGGAUUGUAAAGUGCUUUCAGGUGGGAAGAAGAAAGUGACGUACCACCAGAAGAAGCGACGCUAAAUA